AGGAUGAACGCUGGCGGUAUGCUUUACACAUGCAAGUCGAACGCAAGUUUUUAACUUGAGUGGCGGACGGGUGAGUAACACGUGAGAAUUCACCUUUAGGCGGGGAAUAACUAUCGGAAACAAUAGCUAAUGCCCCAUAUGCUCGCAAGAGUGAAAGGAGUAAUCCACCCAAAGAGAAGCUCGCGGCUGAUUAGCUAGUUGGUAAGGUAAUGGCUUACCAAGGCGACGAUCAGUAGCUGGUUUGAGAGAACGAUCAGCCACACUGGAACUGAGACACGGUCCAGACUCCUACGGGAGCAGCAGU
This 304-nucleotide ribosomal RNA is filed under the name uncultured soil bacterium. Its description in RNAcentral is "bacterial SSU rRNA". It matches the Rfam family "Bacterial small subunit ribosomal RNA", at positions 26 to 355 of the family's 1533-position model. The record is from RNAcentral.